GACGAACGCUGGCGGCGUGCUUAACACAUGCAAGUCGAACGGAAAGGCCCUGCUUUUGUGGGGUGCUCGAGUGGCGAACGGGUGAGUAACACGUGAGUAACCUGCCCUUGACUUUGGGAUAACUUCAGGAAACUGGGGCUAAUACCGGAUAGGAGCUCCUGCUGCAUGGUGGGGGUUGGAAAGUUUCGGCGGUUGGGGAUGGACUCGCGGCUUAUCAGCUUGUUGGUGGGGUAGUGGCUUACCAAGGCUUUGACGGGUAGCCGGCCUGAGAGGGUGACCGGCCACAUUGGGACUGAGAGACGGCGCAGACGCCUACGGGAGGCAGCAGUGGGGAAUAUUGCACAAUGGGCGGAAGCCUGAUGCAGCAACGCCGCGUGCGGGAUGACGGCCUUCGGGUGGUAAACCGCUUUCGCCGGUGACGAAGCGUGAGUGACGGUAAUGGGUAAAGAAGCACCGGCUAACUACGUG
RNAcentral lists this ribosomal RNA (468 nucleotides) under uncultured bacterium. RNAcentral's name for it is "partial 16S ribosomal RNA". It matches the Rfam family "Bacterial small subunit ribosomal RNA", at positions 28 to 507 of the family's 1533-position model. The record is from RNAcentral.